Molecule: ribosomal RNA, 447 nt
Filed under: uncultured bacterium
Lineage: Bacteria
Description: SSU rRNA
Rfam family: Bacterial small subunit ribosomal RNA
Source: RNAcentral
AGAACGAACGCUGGCGGCAGGCCUCAAACAUGCAAGUCUAGGGGGUGUAGCAAUACAUCACCGGCGGACGGGUGCGUAACACGUGGGAAUAUACCUUUUGGUUCGGAACAACGCAGGGAAACUUGCGCUAAUACCGAAUGUGCCCUUACGGGGAAAGAUUAAUCGCCAAAGGAUUAGCCCGCGUAGGAUUAGCUAGUUGGUGAGGUAAUGGCUCACCAAGGCUCCGAUCCUUAGCUGUUCUGAGAGGAAGAUCAGCCACACUGGGACUGAGACACGGCCCAGACUCCUACGGGAGGCAGCAGUUGGGAAUCUUGGACAAUGGGGAAACCCUGAUCCAGCCAUGCCGCGUGAGUGAUGAAGGCCUUCGGGUUGUAAAACUCUUUCGACGGGGACGAUAAUGACGGUACCCGUAGAAGAAGCUCCGGCUAACUUCGCGCCAGCAGCCGC